This 119-nucleotide ribosomal RNA is filed under the name Hordeum vulgare subsp. vulgare (domesticated barley). Lineage: Eukaryota; Viridiplantae; Streptophyta; Magnoliopsida; Poales; Poaceae. The record is from RNAcentral.
GGAUGCGAUCAUACCAGCACUAAAGCAUCGGAUCCCAUCAGAACUCCGAAGUUAAGCAUGCUUCAGUGAGAGUAGUACUAGGAUGGGUGACCUCCUGGGAAGUCCUCGUGUUGCAUUCC